RNAcentral lists this long non-coding RNA (6476 nucleotides) under Brassica napus (rape). Its description in RNAcentral is "long non-coding RNA (BNAP_LNC019650)". The record is from RNAcentral. Lineage: Eukaryota; Viridiplantae; Streptophyta; Magnoliopsida; Brassicales; Brassicaceae.
CCUCAUCUUUAAUGAAGAGUAAAAGACAUUAAUAACACUUUGAUUAACUUUGACAAAAAAAACAUAUCGUUAACUAAUCUAAACUUAAAACGUCAACUAUAAACUCUAAAUCAUCAACUCUAAACCCUAAACCCCGAAACAUCAACUCUAAACCCUAAACCCUAAACCUUCAAAUCUAAACCCUAAAACAUCAACUUUAAACCCUAACGUAAACCCUAAACCCUAAAUCUAAACUUAAAACAUCAACUCUAAACCCUAAAUCAUCAACUCUAAACCCUAAACCAUGAAACAUCAACUCUAAACCCUAAACCUUGAAACAUCAACUCUAAACCCUAAACGUAAACCCUAAACCUUCAAAUCUAAACCCUAAAAUAUCAACUCUAAACCCUAAAUAUAAACCCUAAACCCUAAAUGUAAACUUAAAAUAUCAACUCUAAACCCUAAAUCAUCAACUCUAAACCCUAAACCAUGAAACAUCAAAUCUAAACCCUAAACCCCGAAACAUCAACUCUAAACCCUAAACCCUAAACCUUCAAAUCUAAACCCUAAAACAUCAACUCUAAACCCUAAACGUAAACCUUAAACCCUAUAUUUUUCUGAAAUUCGAACCCUAAACCUUAAAACCCUAAACCUUCAAAUUUAAACUCUAAAACAUCAACUCUAAACCCUAAAUGUAAACCCUAACCCUAAAACCCUAAACCCUAAACCUUCAAAUCUAAAACCUAAAACAUCAAUUCUAGGGUUUUGGGGUUUAAGGUUUAGGGUUUAAAGUUUUGGAUUAAGAGCUGAAGGUUUAGGGUUUAUGGUUUAGAGUUGAUUUUUCUGGGUUUAGAGUUGAUGUUUUAGGGUUUAGGGUUAAUUUUUUAGGGUUUAGGGUUUAGUGUUGAUAGUUUAGGGUUUAGUGUUGAUGGUUUAGGGUUUAGAGUUGAAGUUUAGGGUUUAGGGUUUAGAGUUGAUGUUUUAGGGUUUAGAGUUGAAGGUUUAGGGUUUAGGGUUUAGAGUUUAGAGUUUAGGGUUUAGGGUUUAGGGUUUAAGGUUCGUAUUUCAAAGAAAAGGAUUUAGGACUGAUGGUUUAGGGUUUAGAGUUUAGAGUUAGGGUUUAGGGUUUGAAUUUCGAAAUAGUAUAAUUCGAAAAAAUUAAAAAAUAUAUUUUUUAUUUUUUUAGAUUUUUAUUCAUUUAAAUAUUUAUUUAUUAUAUAUAGAAAGAACAUGGACAUAAGAGUCUUUUGUCACUUAGUGAAGAAUGUAUUUUUGAAAAUGUUCUUUUAGUGGUGGUAAAAAUGAAAAGUAGUAGCAUGAAAGUGGUAAACAUGAAAUUUCCCCUUGAAUAAAUUAAACUCAGAUGAAUUCACGUCCCAUUUUUUUUUUAACAAAUUCAUUGCAAUCUUUCAACAGUUGAAUUAAAUUUUCAAUUACCUCGUUGUACAUAGUCUUAAGGAUCUACAAGAAAAAUCAGAAGUAUAUUUUUCCAAGAAAAAACAAAUUAGCAGUACUGAUUGUCUUUUUUUUUGAACAUUUCUGAUUGAUUAGUUAAACUCAAUAUAUUGCGAUGAAUGGUGACAAUAUAAAAGCGGAUUUCAAAGUGUAUAUCGUCAAAACCGCUUUUAACCACCAAUCAACAUUUUUUUCUCUCAAAACUGUGCAGUUUUAAAAGCCACCAAAACCAAAAACGAAAAUGCUCAAACUAUUAAGGGAGCACUUUACACCUGUACAAAUAUAUAAUAAUCAUGAAAUAACUAGCGUUUUUGGUCAAUUACGCACUUCUUAUGCUGCUAAAUAACUGUUGUUUGUUAUAUAGGGUUCGAAUGUUUACGACCGCCCCGUACCGCACCGCAGUUAACAGUAACAAAAAUCUGUGCAUAAACUAUAUAUCUAUACGUUUUUAUAACUGUUAAAACUGCACCGCAGUUGAACCGCUUGUCCCGCACUGCUCAAACCGCACUCACCAUUCGGAGCCAUAGAGUAUUAAGAUCCGAAUGGUAACAGCGGAUUUGAUAAUAAAAACGGUGCGGAAUUAAAAUGCGGGACGGUACAACUGCGGUUCCUGCGGAAAUUGGAGUACGGCCCGGGAGAACUGUGGUUUUAAGUAAAAAGCAGUGUGGAAUAUUGUUUGAAUUGUGACAAUACAUAUUUGCGGUAUUGAAUGAUUAUUUAACAAAUAAUAUAAUAAUGGUACAUAAUAUAGAAUAUAUUAAAAUAAUAAAAAUAUAUGAAAAUAUUAUAAAUAAUAUAUUAACAUAAUAAAUAUAUUUUAAAAUAAAAAUGUCUUAAAGUGAAAUGUGUUUGAUAAGUGGGGUUUUGAUAAAAUAAGUGAUACAAAAUAAUGUUUGAUUGCUGAAAAAAUAUUUUAUAGUUUUGCUAAAUAAAUAUUAAAAAUAUGUGAAACAAAUUUUUGAUUCCUACUCUCGGGUUCUAGAGAUAUAAGAUUUGUUCUCGUAAUUGGUAGAACCCAAAUCUUAAUCGAUCCUAGAAAAGAAGUUUAAUUUGGUUUGGUUCUCCGGUUCCGUAUAAAUGUACACAUGCCUAUAUAUUCUUAUAUUUAAUAAAGGAAAAUUGCCAAAAAUAUCAUUUUCAAAAUACCACUUUUCAUGUUUGCACUAAUUACUUUUACCUUUAUCUUUAAUGAAGGGUAAAAAAUAUUUAUAACGUUUUGAUUAACUUUGACAAAAAAAAAUUAACUAAUUUAAACUUAAAUCAUCAACUCUAAACCCUAAAUCAUCAACUCUAAAUCCUAAACCACGAAACAUCAACUCUAAACCCUAAACCCCAAAACAUCAACUCUAAACCCUAAACUCUAAACCCUAAACCUUCAAAUCUAAACCCUAAAACAUCAACUCUAAACCCUAAAUCUAAACUCAACACAUCAACUUUAAACCCUAAAUCAUCAUCUCUAAACCCUAAACCCUAAAUCAUCAACUCUAAACCCUAAACCCCGAAAGAUCAACUCUAAACCCUAAACUCUAAACCUUCAAAUCUAAACCCAAAAACAUCAACUCUAAACCCUAAACGUAAACCCUAAACCCUAUAUUUUUCUUAAAUUUGUACCCUAAACCUUUAAAUCUAAAUCCUAAAACAUCAACUCUAAACCCUAAACGUAAACUCUAAACCCUAAAACCCUAAACCUUCAAAUCUAAACCCAAAAACAUCAACUCUAGGGUUUUAGGGUUUAGGGUUUGGGAUUUAGGGUUUAGAGUUUAGGGUUUAUAGUUGAAGAUUUAGGGUUUAGGGUUUAGAGUUGAUGUUUUAGGGUUUAGGGUUAUUUUUAGGGUUUAGGGUUUAGAGUUUACUUUUUAGGGUUUAGGGUUUAGUGUUGAUAGUUUAGGAGUGUCGAUGGUUUAGGGUUUAAAGUUGAAGUUUAGGGUUUAGGGUUUAGAGUUGAUGUGUAAGGGUUUAGAGUUUAGGGUUUAGGGUUUAGAAUUUAGAGUUUAUAGUUGAUGUUUCGACGUUUAGGGUUUAGAGUUGAUGUUUCAGGGUUUAGGGUUCGUAUUUUAAAAAAAAAUAGGGUUUAGGAUUGAUGGUUUAGGGUUUAGUGUUCGUAUUUCAAAAACAAAUAGGGUUUAGGAUUGAUGGUUUAGGGUUUAGAGUUGAGUUUUAGAGUUUAGGGUUUGAAUUUCGAAAUAAUUUCUAAACUCUAAAACUCAACUCUAAACCCUAAACCAUCAAUCCUAAACUCUAUUUUUUCAAAAUACGAACCCUAAACCAUCAAUCCUAAACCUUUUUUUUUUUUGAAAUACAAACCCUAAACCUUGAAACAUCAACUCUAAACCCUAAACCCUAAACAUUCAACUCUAAACCCUAAAACAUCAACUCUAAACCCUAAACACUAAACUUCAACUCUAAACCCUAAACCAUCAACACUAAACCCUAAACUAUCAACACUAAAUCCUAAACCCUAAAUAGAAAAAUCUAAACCCUAAACCCUAUAAAAAUAACCCUAAACCCUAAAACAUCAACCCUAAACCCUAAACCCUAAACCUUCAACUCUAAACCCUAAACUCUAAACCCUAAAUUCUAAACCCUAAAUCGUACAGUUGAUGUUUUAGGGUUUAAAACAUGAACUAGAACCGGGAUUUUAGGACUUGAAUGGAUCGAUUCGUGUCAGUGGAAUGCUAGAAUAUGGAUUACGGAUCGAUUCAACCGAUUGUUAGGCUUAGCAAAUCAAAAUUGCUUCGUAUGAGUUUUUGCAGGUUCCCGCGAAGGAGAAAUCAAUCAUUGAUACACAACUUUCAUCGAUCGAUUGUCACACCGAAUAUCGAUCGAUCUCGCACCAAGCCAUCGAUCCGAACUGAAUUCCUAUUUUUGUUUAUGAUUUUUGGUUGCAGAUGUAUGAAAGGAGAACGAAGCGGAGGUUCGACGUAGGCGGCAGUAGCACAGCUCUACCACCAUCACCGGUUCGGGACCAGGACCCUCGCCACGCGAACGCGAAGACGAACCCAUACCGCUCUUUGACUGUUUCCAUGACACGCGCAAAGCAGCGAAGAGCUUGAAAUGCAGAAACCGCGCAAUAUCAGACUCGUGGGACGACUAUGACAACAUAUUCUUCAACGAGUGGCUGAGGGUUUCUAACAAGCCAACAUGAUUCGUCGACCCGGACGUGAUUCGCUCGCUCGGCAUCAGAUCAGACCUCGAGGACAUGUUCAUGGAUCUGGGUAUGGGAAACAUGGCCACCAACCCACAGGUCCUCUACCCGGAGCUGGUCCGUCAGUCCAUGGCCACGGUGAAGGUCUACUACUGCAACGAGAGGGCAAAGCGAGCGAGCGAGGGCACCUUGACAUUCUUCAUCCGUGGCAUCCGUUACAGAGUCUCUCUCUCGACAUUCUGCACUAUCUACGGGUUCCAGAACGCAGAGCUCGAGCACAUUGUAGUACCCGGUUUUGAAGGGAGAUCUGCGUUUUGGGGACACAUAGCUACAUGCUUCUUCGACUCGGCCUCAGCUCUUCAGACAGACAUCCGUCACCCGACUCUACGAUACUUCAUGAAGGUCCUUGCCAACACUUUUUUGUGCAAGAUGGAACCUAGUAAGGUUCUGGAACAGGAGCUCACAUUGGUCUAUUACGCGGUUAAGAGCUUGGUUCCCUUGGAGGGCAUCGAGGAGCCCGCAGACGACGAGUUUCCCAACCUCGGAGCCAUUUUUGCUGAGCAUCUAGUCAAGGUCAAGAUGUGGCCGUUCCAGUCACCGGGGAAGAAGAAGGAGAUGGUUGGGAGUCUACUUACACCAAUCUUCAUACACUGCGAAGUACCGCUAGAUGAUGCUGCGAUGGACGACCAUAAAAUCUACAUGGAUGCAGCUCACCUCACAAGCGCACAGUGGCUCAAGGACAACCGUUACUGGAAUUGGAAAAUUAAUGAAAACGAUAAAAAGGUAAUUUGUCAUUUUAAAUGAAACAUUUUUGUGAUAUUGGGUUUUAGAGUCUAGAUUGGGAAGAAAAAGUUGAUAUAUGGCUAUUGAAGGUCAUUUCUCUAUACGUAAUUUAUUUUAUUGAUAUGAUCUUCAUAUUUAAAAUUUUAAUCUUACUAAUAUAUAUUUUGUUUUAAAUUAAGACAUUUUUUAUUUUUAUAAUAAUUUAUAGAUAAGAUCUUGAUAUUUAAAAUUAUUGCUCGUUACCUUCAACAUGUAUGUAGAAUAUCAAAUCCUAUAGGAUCUCCUAAAACCUACAAACUUACUAUAUUUUAAGAAGUUAUUAGAUCUUGAUCAGCACAUCCGUGAAUGUUUUAUUUUUUUGUUCUAAAAUAUUCUAAGAAUUAUUAGAUCUUGAUCUUAAAAAUUAUUGACAUAAAUUGUAAUGUUACAUGAUAGAAACAUUUAAAGUUGCGACCUCUAAAAAGUAGUUUAAAUUAAAAAAAAAAUCACACAUGUAAUAAGUAAUGAUUUAUGUGUUUAAUAAAUAAGAUAUUUAUUUUAAAAUUUAAAUAGAAAUAUAUAUUUCUUUCCAACAAAAUCUUUUUUAAAUCUUGGUCAAAUGUAUUUUGGGAAAUUGCCAAAAAUGCAAUUUUCAAAGUACCAGUUUUCAUGUUUAUACUAACCACUUUUACCCUCAUCUUAAAUGAAGGGUAAAAAACAUUUAUAACCCUUUGAUUAACUUUCACAAAAAAAAACAUAUAUUAACUAAUCUAAACUUAAAACAUCAAUUCUAAACCAUAAAUCAUCAACUCUAAACCCUAAACCAUGAAACAUAAUCUCUAAACCCUAAACCCCGAAACAUCAACUUUAAACCCUAAACCUUCAAAUCUAAACCCUAAAAUAUCAACUCUAAACCCUAAAUAUAAACCCUAAACCCUAAAUGUAAACUUAAAAUAUCAACUCUAAACCCUAAAUCAUCAACUCUAAACCCUAAACCAUGAAACAUCAAAUCUAAACCCUAAACCCCGAAACAUCAACUCUAAACCCUAAACCCUAAACCUUCAAAUCUAAACCCUAAAACAUCAACUCUAAACCCUAAACGUAAACCUUAAACCCUAUAUUUUUCUGAAAUUCG